AAAUGUAAAGCAAUAAUGCAUUUAGUUUCGACCUAAAAAAAAAUAUAAUAAUAUUUACAUUUA
RNAcentral lists this transfer RNA (63 nucleotides) under Orthomeria smaragdinum. RNAcentral describes it as "tRNA-Arg". Lineage: Eukaryota; Metazoa; Arthropoda; Insecta; Phasmatodea; Aschiphasmatidae. The record is from RNAcentral.